Molecule: ribosomal RNA, 630 nt
Filed under: uncultured Cortinarius
Lineage: Eukaryota; Fungi; Basidiomycota; Agaricomycetes; Agaricales; Cortinariaceae
Description: eukaryotic LSU rRNA
Rfam family: 5.8S ribosomal RNA (bases 252-405)
Source: RNAcentral
GAUCAUUAUUGAAAUAAACUGAUGGGUUGCUGCUGGCUCUCUAGGGAGCAUUGUGCACACUUGUCAUCUUUAUAUCUCCACCUGUGCACCUUUUGUAGACCUGGAUAUCUUUCUGAAUGCCCUGCAUUUCAGGUUUGAGCAUCGACUUUCAAGUCCUUGCUUACAUUUUCAGGCCUAUGUGUUUUCAUAUACCCCCAAUGUAUGUUAUAGAAUGUAAUAAAACAGGCCUUUUGUGCCUAUAAAAUCCAUACAACUUUCAGCAACGGAUCUCUUGGCUCUCGCAUCGAUGAAGAACGCAGCGAAAUGCGAUAAGUAAUGUGAAUUGCAGAAUUCAGUGAAUCAUCGAAUCUUUGAACGCACCUUGCGCUCCUUGGUAUUCCGAGGAGCAUGCCUGUUUGAGUGUCAUUAAUAUAUCAACCUCAUCAACUUUUGCUUGUUGGGUGUUGGAUCUGGGGGUAUUUUUGCUGGCUUCUCUUCCUGAGGUCAGCUCCCCUAAAAUGCAUUAGCGGAACAAUUUGUUGACCGUUCAUUGGUGUGAUAACUAUCUACGCUAUUGACGUGAGGCAGGUUCAGCUUCUAAUAGUCCAUUGACUUGGACAAAUUUUCAUUAAUGUGACCUCAAAUCAUGUA